This 626-nucleotide ribosomal RNA is filed under the name Meyerozyma carpophila. RNAcentral's name for it is "eukaryotic LSU rRNA". The stretch from base 229 to 382 matches the Rfam family "5.8S ribosomal RNA". The record is from RNAcentral. Lineage: Eukaryota; Fungi; Ascomycota; Pichiomycetes; Serinales; Debaryomycetaceae.
UGGAAAAAUAUUAAAAGCGUAACAAGGUUUCCGUAGGUGAACCUGCGGAAGGAUCAUUACAGUAUUCUUUUGCCAGCGCUUAACUGCGCGGGGAAAAACCUUACACACAGUGUCUUUUUGAUACAGAACUCUUGCUUUGGUUUGGGCUAGAAAUAGGUUGGGGCAGAGGUUUAACAAAACACAAUUUAAUUAUUUUUAUUGAUAGUCAAAUUUUGAAUUAAUCUUCAAAACUUUCAACAACGGAUCUCUUGGUUCUCGCAUCGAUGAAGAACGCAGCGAAAUGCGAUAAGUAAUAUGAAUUGCAGAUUUUCGUGAAUCAUCGAAUCUUUGAACGCACAUUGCGCCCUCUGGUAUUCCAGAGGGGAUGCCUGUUUGAGCGUCAUUUCUCUCUCAAACCCCCGGGUUUGGUAUUGAGUGAUACUCUUAGUCGAACUAGGGGUUUGCUUGAAAAGUAUUGGGAUGGGUAGUACUGGAUAGUGCUGUCGACCUCUCAAUGUAUUAGGUUUAUCCAACUCGUUGAAUGGUGUGGGGGGAUAUUUCUGGUAUUGUUGGGCCGGGCUUACAACAACCAAACAAGUUUGACCUCAAAUCAGGUAGGAAUACCCGCUGAACUUAAGCAUAUCAAA